Molecule: ribosomal RNA, 601 nt
Filed under: Aspergillus sclerotiorum
Lineage: Eukaryota; Fungi; Ascomycota; Eurotiomycetes; Eurotiales; Aspergillaceae
Description: eukaryotic LSU rRNA
Rfam family: Eukaryotic large subunit ribosomal RNA
Source: RNAcentral
AUAAGCGGAGGAAAAGAAACCAACCGGGAUUGCCUCAGUAACGGCGAGUGAAGCGGCAAGAGCUCAAAUUUGAAAUCUGGCCCCCUCGGGGUCCGAGUUGUAAUUUGCAGAGGAUGCUUCGGGUGCGGCCCCCGUCUAAGUGCCCUGGAACGGGCCGUCAUAGAGGGUGAGAAUCCCGUCUGGGACGGGGUGUCCGCGUCCGUGUGAAGCUCCUUCGACGAGUCGAGUUGUUUGGGAAUGCAGCUCUAAAUGGGUGGUAAAUUUCAUCUAAAGCUAAAUACUGGCCGGAGACCGAUAGCGCACAAGUAGAGUGAUCGAAAGAUGAAAAGCACUUUGAAAAGAGAGUUAAAAAGCACGUGAAAUUGUUGAAAGGGAAGCGCUUGCGACCAGACUCGCCCGCGGGGUUCAGCCGGCAUUCGUGCCGGUGUACUUCCCCGCGGGCGGGCCAGCGUCGGUUUGGGCGGCCGGUCAAAGGCCUCCGGAAUGUAGUGCCCCUACGGGGGCACCUUAUAGCCGGGGGUGCAAUGCGGCCAGCCUGGACCGAGGAACGCGCUUCGGCACGGACGCUGGCAUAAUGGUUGCAAACGACCCGUCUUGAAAC